Long non-coding RNA from Girardinichthys multiradiatus, 541 nucleotides. RefSeq lists it as uncharacterized. The record is from RefSeq and is a predicted model, not a curated record. Lineage: Eukaryota; Metazoa; Chordata; Actinopteri; Cyprinodontiformes; Goodeidae. The transcript is spliced from 2 exons.
GUCAGCUCGUUCUCUCACUUGGCGUGAUAACAGCUAGACCUCUGCUGCUCUGCAGUCCUGCUUCUAAGCAGAUUUCUCUGAUCUCCUUGUUUUUCUCCCCUGCCUUGCAGAUCUACCUUUGCUGAAGGAAGUCGUGGAGUCUCUCUGGUCCCCGUUUUCACUCAUGUCAUGUUCAGAGGAGUUUGGAAACUCCAGCCUCGACACUUCAGCCCUGACCCUCCACUCUGCUUCCAACUCCAAACCCAGCUUCUCAGGAGUCACCUAAAACUACCCAUCAACCUGCCUGUCCAGCCUCCAACGUUAACUCUCCAACCAUAGUGGAGUUUCCUGGAAGGAAAGACACACAAGCGGAGGAACAGAACAAUUCAUCUUCCGAAAACUGUGCACAGCCUGUCAGCCUCAAGCCACUGUGGAAAAAGGACUUAUUUCCCCCCGGUCUUUCCAAGAACUCAACUCCUAGAGAUCCUGCGCUUGUCCGCCUGCUCCAGUCCUGGUUCCAGUCCGACCUCUAUCCGUGUAUCUUAAUAAACUGUUAAAAUGC